RNAcentral lists this ribosomal RNA (265 nucleotides) under uncultured bacterium. Its description in RNAcentral is "partial 16S ribosomal RNA". It matches the Rfam family "Bacterial small subunit ribosomal RNA", at positions 334 to 616 of the family's 1533-position model. The record is from RNAcentral.
GAGCCCUACGGGACGCAGCAGUGGGGAAUAUUGCACAAUGGGGGAAACCCUGAUGCAGCGACGCCGCGUGAGCGAAGAAGUAUUUCGGUAUGUAAAGCUCUAUCAGCAGGGAAGAAAAUGACGGUACCUGACUAAGAAGCUCCGGCUAAAUACGUGCCAGCAGCCGCGGUAAUACGUAUGGAGCAAGCGUUAUCCGGAUUUACUGGGUGUAAAGGGAGAGCAGGCGGUCCGGCAAGUCUGAUGUGAAAGGCGGGGGAUCAACCCC